CAGUAGCCGCGGGAAUACGAAGGGGGCUAGCGUUGCUCGGAAUGACUGGGCGUAAAGGGCGCGUAGGCGGCGAUCAAAGUCAGGCGUGAAAUUCCUGGGCUCAACCUGGGGGCUGCGCUUGAUACUUGGUUGCUUGAGUGGGGAAGAGGGUCGUGGAAUUCCCAGUGUAGAGGUGAAAUUCGUAGAUAUUGGGAAGAACACCGGUGGCGAAAGCGGCUCACUGGACCAUAACUGACGCUGAGGCACGAAAGCUAGGGGAGCAAACAGGAUUAGAUACCCCCGUAGUCCCUGUCUCUUAUAC
RNAcentral lists this ribosomal RNA (301 nucleotides) under uncultured bacterium. RNAcentral's name for it is "partial 16S ribosomal RNA". It matches the Rfam family "Bacterial small subunit ribosomal RNA", at positions 509 to 807 of the family's 1533-position model. The record is from RNAcentral.